RNAcentral lists this long non-coding RNA (738 nucleotides) under Cucumis sativus (cucumber). Its description in RNAcentral is "long non-coding RNA (CSAT_LNC002420)". Lineage: Eukaryota; Viridiplantae; Streptophyta; Magnoliopsida; Cucurbitales; Cucurbitaceae. The record is from RNAcentral.
AAUAUAAAAUAAAAUAACCUGAUGUUGGGAGAGUUGUGAGGAAGAAAAUGAAGAAGAAGAAAAUGGAUCAAGAUCAUGAUCAAGAAGGCCCAAAUAUCUAAGAGCUUUAUCACCAGACUCAACACAGGUAACUGCUUUUGAGGGUAUAAUUGAAAGAAGAAGAAAAUAAACCAGUUAUAAAAUUAUUAGAUGAAAUAAAUAAAUAAGUGGAUAAAUAUAUAAUAUAAAGAUUGUACCUUGACAUGAAGAAAUUGUUAAGAGCUUUUCCAAAAGCUUUCUAUCAAUUAGACUAUCAUCAACAGCCAAUACAUGGAAAUGGUGGUGGUGUUCUUCUUCUACUUUCUCCUCAACUUCUGUUUUCUUCAACUCCAUUUUCCUUCUUCUACCUUCUUCUUCUUCUUCUUCUUCUUCUUCUUCUUCUUCUUCUUCUUCCUCUUCUUCCUCUUCCUCCUCCUCUUCCUCUUCUUCUCCCUCUUCUUCUCUUCAAGAUCAGAAGCCUGUAGCUAGAAUGAUGAAUAUCCAAGAAAAAUAUAGUUAUAUUAUUAUUUUAUUUUUCAAAAUCUCAAAAUUAUAAUGGUUUUGACAUUAUAGGGGAAAUUUUAGAAGAAAGGAGGAAAAAAUGGGAGCUAGAGGUGGUGGGGUGUGGUAAUAUUGGAGGUUUUCAUGAAGAAGUGGGUGUGGAGAGGAAAAGGAAAAGAAAGAAAAAGAAAAAAUAGUUAGGGAUCAAGUAAGUAUAGU